This 315-nucleotide unclassified non-coding RNA is filed under the name uncultured fungus. Its description in RNAcentral is "partial contains 5.8S ribosomal RNA, internal transcribed spacer 2, and large subunit ribosomal RNA". The record is from RNAcentral. Lineage: Eukaryota; Fungi.
AACGCAUAUGGCACCCGAGACUUCGGUCGAGGGUAUGUCUGUCUCAGAGUCGGCGUAAAAACAUCCCCAGGGAAACUGACCUUUCUCUGGGGGAGCUGGCCUUCCCGGAGCCUCUUGGCCCGGGUCGGCCGAAGGUUAGAGACGGGGGACCGCACGCGCGGACAGCCAAGAUUUUGGUGGGAGGACCUCGCGUCCGCAUCAUCGAUCUGGCGUCCGUCUCGAAAGCGUGCCGGCCGUUUGGGGCCCCGCCAGUGCAGGAAAAUAAUACAUUCUUGUUCCGACCUGAGAUCAGGCAAGAUCACCCGCUGAACUUAA